UAGGGGGCACGCCCCAACCCUAGGCCACCUACUCCCUCUCUCUCUCUCUCUUGAUCUAAAGAUACUAAGGGUUGGAAAAUUAGAGUUAAGCCUAAAUUAGUUUUGGGGUUAGGGUUUUUUUAGAGAUUUAAGGGUGCUUACUCAGUUUGACUGAAAUUGGCGUUUCCAGUUCGAGAUUGAAGCUAGACCACUAAUCUCGCACCAUCUGAUAUCCGUGACUCGGUGUGGGGUGUAAUAAGCCCGGUUGAGGUUCUCAAGAUGAAUUACCCCAGUCAUUUGAUUGAUCCCUUCUCAUGAGCACUUCCAACUUAUGUUCAACCAGAGAUGCUUCUUUUGGAGUUCAUGGACAAGAAAUGCACUAGAACCCAUACUCAAAUCAAUGAUCAUGUCAGAAGAUGCACCCUUCCCUGGAGGUCCUGAGAUUCUUAUAUUGUUCACUAGACAAAGAGAACAUAUAUCACAUAAGCUUUGGGAAGAGAUGAUUGGGAAAAUACCCUCAUAAUUGAUGAGAAGCCCAAUGCAAAUUCUUCAUGACCGUUAACGAACAACGAUCAAAUUGAUUUGGUCAGAAGAUCAGGAUUGUAUCACCUGACCAUAGUGUUGAUGAGUCAGCAUGACCGUGGCACAUCAUCUACAAUUAUCGAGAAGUGGCGCGUAGAGACGAACACGGGGCACUUCAAUGUAGACAUCAGAGAGAUGAUGCCUACACUUGAAGAUACAUGAAAAAUUCUUCGGUUAAAGGUGACUGGUGUAGUUGUAAUCGUGAAGAGUGGAGAACUACGAGGAUCAUAUAGUCUGUAUGAUAUGACAGCUGCCACCUAGUCGUAGUCAUUCCAGUAUCCAAUUGACAUGGUUGAGGAACACGUUUAAGCGGCUACCAUAAAACCAUAACCACGCUACUCUUCUACGAUACACUCGUGCCUACCUCUUAUAUCUAGUUGGGUGCACAAUAUUUACGGAUUUCACUUAUGGUACCGGUUCCUACCAUCCAUUAACAACUUUUUGAGGAUAUCGAUGUAGUUGGUCAGUAUGCAUGGGGUGCAACUGUGUUAGCGUUUUUGUUUCGAGCCUUGUCUAAGGUUGUUCAUGCUGAUCAUCAACACCUAAGUGGAUCGGCAACUCUCUUGCUAAUAGUGGUAGUAUCUUAGUGUUUUGAUAUUUUUUUUAAAGUUCGAUAGAUAUUUGUUGUGAUUCUUAUUUUUUUAUAUAUGUAAUCUAGUGUUGGGCGUAUGAGCAUUUUCAAUUGUUGUACCUAAUUCCAAAAAAAAUAAGUACAGGGCAAACUAGAUCCCUCAGGUGGGCCCCUCCUAAAGAAUGAGAUAACACUCACAACUUUGGUCUCGUGGGGCGACAGGAGCUUGAUAACGGGCGAAUAAAUGAUGUCAUAUGGACCUCAUACGAUGAUUAUCUUAAAACAGGAGAGAAAACUGCAGAGGACAAAGAUUAUGGGUUUCGUGUCUAUCAGACUGUUUUGUGUGGCACAUACCUCAUAUGUAGACACAUCUAUGAGGAGUAUAUGCCAGAUCUUGUGCUACGGCAGUUUGGACUUCACCAAAUGAAACCUGCAGAUCCCUUGCAAUAGGAGAGGAGGGAGAGAAUGGGGAAGAUCUUUGACAACUAGGGAGAUGAGCUAAGAGAUAAAAUAGAUAUGUGGACGCAUCGCUUAGAUUAUAUUGUUAGGCAGAUGAAUAUAUGUUCAAUGGGAAGCCGACACGAUAAUACAUUGAGUGGUACAAGCUAAUGACUAGACCCCUAAUCCAUAAUCCAUUUAGAAAACAUCCAUCCAAAUACACAUCUCGAGGUUAUAAUGCUGAAGAUAGAAUGCCUAAGGACAUCAGUCAUGCAACUCAACUUUUAUUGCAAUUCAAGAAAUUUAAACCUAAUUGGGGAAGCAUUAGACGUGCUUAAAAUGUAUGACCCAAAAGUUGCAGGGGAAUUUUGAUGAUGAGCUGGAUGAUAACGUGCCAGUAUGACAUCCUUCUCGACCAGAUAAGGGGCCAAGUAAUACAAAACCCAUCCCCACACCGAUUCAACUAGAGGAGCCCAGAUGGGAGUUGUGUCAUCGUGUUGCAAAACGGGAGCAGAGCAGCUCUGAUACAGAGUUGCAGUUACCACAGUGGGCUGAGAAGCUACCAGUAUGACAAAAGCAUUCAUGAUGUGUACUUGGCUGGAUGCAUGGUUGAAUGCAUAAUUGUAAAUAAGCCAGUAGUGGUGUUUAAACUAUGUAAAGAGGCCAUUAGUGCCUAUAUAGUUUUAUGUA
This is a non-coding RNA of Amborella trichopoda, 2260 nucleotides long. NCBI's taxonomy places the organism in Eukaryota, Viridiplantae, Streptophyta, Magnoliopsida, Amborellales, Amborellaceae. The record is from RefSeq and is a predicted model, not a curated record.